UGAGGAAUAUUGGUCAAUGGGUGCAAGCCUGAACCAGCCAUGCCGCGUGCAGGAUGACUGCCCUAUGGGUUGUAAACUGCUUUUAUACGGGAAGAACAGGCUCCACGCGAUGGGGAUUUGACGGUACCGUAGGAAUAAGCAUCGGCUAACUCCGUGCCAGCAGCCGCGGUAAUACGGAGGAUGCGAGCGUUAUCCGGAUUUAUUAGGUUUAAAGGGUGCGUAGGCGGAUAAGUAAGUCAGCGGUGAAAGCUUGUUGCUUAACAACAGAAUUGCCAUUGAUACUGCUAAUCUUGAGUACAGUUGAGGUAGGCGGAAUGUGUAAUGUAGCGGUGAAAUGCUUAGAUAUUACACAGAACACCGAUUGCGAAGGCAGCUUACUAAGCUGUAACUGACGCUGAGGCACGAAAGCGUGGGGAGCAAACAGG
This 425-nucleotide ribosomal RNA is filed under the name uncultured bacterium. RNAcentral's name for it is "bacterial SSU rRNA". It matches the Rfam family "Bacterial small subunit ribosomal RNA", at positions 355 to 776 of the family's 1533-position model. The record is from RNAcentral.